GAUGAUGUGCUCAUGUUCAGGUUGAAGUCAAAAGUGAUCAAUUGAGACAUUCAUUGAGAGCAACCAACAUUCUACCACAUGGGGGAUA
This is a long non-coding RNA of Phyllostomus discolor (pale spear-nosed bat), 88 nucleotides long. RefSeq lists it as uncharacterized. The transcript is spliced from 3 exons. Lineage: Eukaryota; Metazoa; Chordata; Mammalia; Chiroptera; Phyllostomidae. The record is from RefSeq and is a predicted model, not a curated record.